Molecule: ribosomal RNA, 216 nt
Filed under: uncultured bacterium
Lineage: Bacteria
Description: partial 16S ribosomal RNA
Rfam family: Bacterial small subunit ribosomal RNA
Source: RNAcentral
GUCUCAGUUCGGACUGUGGUCUGCAACUCGACCACACGAAGCUGGAAUCGCUAGUAAUCGCGAAUCAGCAUGUCGCGGUGAAUACGUUCCCGGGUCUUGUACACACCGCCCGUCACACCAUGGGAGUCGGGAACACCCGAAGUCCGUAGUCUAACCGCAAGGGGGGCGCGGCCGAAGGUGGGUCCGGUAAUUGGGGUGAAGUCGUAACAAGGUAUC